AGACCCGAAACCCGGUGAUCUAGCCAUGGGCAGGUUGAAGGUUGGGUAACACUAACUGGAGGACCGAACCGACUAAUGUUGAAAAAUUAGCGGAUGACCUGUGGCUGGGGGUGAAAGGCCAAUCAAACCGGGAGAUAGCUGGUUCUCCCCGAAAGCUAUUUAGGUAGCGCCUCGUGAAUUCAUCUCCGGGGGUAGAGCACUGUUUCGGCUAGGGGGCCAUCCCGGCUUACCAACCCGAUGCAAACUGCGAAUACCGGAGAAUGUUAUCACGGGAGACACACGGCGGGUGCUAACGUCCGUCGUGAAGAGGGAAACAACCCAGACCGCCAGCUAAGGUCCCAAAGUCAUGGUUAAGUGGGAAACGAUGUGGGAAGGCCCAGACAGCCAGGAUGUUGGCUUAGAAGCAGCCAUCAUUUAAAGAAAGCGUAAUAGCUCACUGGUCGAGUCGGCCUGCGCGGAAGAUGUAACGGGGCUAAACCAUGCACCGAAGCUGCGGCAGCGAACGUAUCACUUAAAGCGAUUCAGCGGAUGACGAUUGACGGAGCGAAGCGACGUCAAAGCGUAUACAAAGUCGAGUCGGUUUAAGGAUACGUUCGUUGGGUAGGGGAGCGUUCUGUAAGCCUGCGAAGGUGGCCUGUGAGGGUUGCUGGAGGUAUCAGAAGUGCGAAUGCUGACAUAAGUAACGAUAAAGCGGGUGAAAAGCCCGCUCGCCGGAAGACCAAGGGUUCCUGUCCAACGUUAAUCGGGGCAGGGUGAGUCGACCCCUAAGGCGAGGCCGAAAGGCGUAGUCGAUGGGAAACGGGUUAAUAUUCCCGUACUUGGUGUUACUGCGAAGGGGGGACGGAGAAGGCUAUGUUGGCCGGGCGACGGUUGUCCCGGUUUAAGCGUGUAGGUGUGUGUUCCAGGUAAAUCCGGUUCACUUUAACACUGAGGCGUGAUGACGAGGCACUACGGUGCUGAAGCAACAAAUGCCCUGCUUCCAGGAAAAGCCUCUAAGCAUCAGGUAACAUCAAAUCGUACCCCAAACCGACACAGGUGGUCAGGUAGAGAAUACCAAGGCGCUUGAGAGAACUCGGGUGAAGGAACUAGGCAAAAUGGUGCCGUAACUUCGGGAGAAGGCACGCUGACACGUAGGUGAAGUGAUUUACUCAUGGAGCUGAAGUCAGUCGAAGAUACCAGCUGGCUGCAACUGUUUAUUAAAAACACAGCACUGUGCAAACACGAAAGUGGACGUAUACGGUGUGACGCCUGCCCGGUGCCGGAAGGUUAAUUGAUGGGGUCAGCGCAAGCGAAGCUCCUGAUCGAAGCCCCGGUAAACGGCGGCCGUAACUAUAACGGUCCUAAGGUAGCGAAAUUCCUUGUCGGGUAAGUUCCGACCUGCACGAAUGGCGUAAUGAUGGCCAGGCUGUCUCCACCCGAGACUCAGUGAAAUUGAACUCGCUGUGAAGAUGCAGUGUACCCGCGGCAAGACGGAAAGACCCCGUGAACCUUUACUAUAGCUUGACACUGAACAUUGAGCCUUGAUGUGUAGGAUAGGUGGGAGGCUU
RNAcentral lists this ribosomal RNA (1547 nucleotides) under Salmonella enterica subsp. enterica serovar Saintpaul. RNAcentral describes it as "partial 23S ribosomal RNA". It matches the Rfam family "Bacterial large subunit ribosomal RNA", at positions 711 to 2157 of the family's 2925-position model. The record is from RNAcentral. Lineage: Bacteria; Pseudomonadati; Pseudomonadota; Gammaproteobacteria; Enterobacterales; Enterobacteriaceae.